AGGGAAAUAGUUAAAUUUUUAUAACAUUUAAUUUGCAAUUAAAAAUUACUAUAUUAUUAGUUUUCCUUA
This 69-nucleotide transfer RNA is filed under the name Orfelia nemoralis. RNAcentral describes it as "tRNA-Ala". It matches the Rfam family "tRNA". Rfam says of the family: Transfer RNA (tRNA) molecules are approximately 80 nucleotides in length. Their secondary structure includes four short double-helical elements and three loops (D, anti-codon, and T loops). Further hydrogen bonds mediate the characteristic L-shaped molecular structure. tRNAs have two regions of fundamental functional importance: the anti-codon, which is responsible for specific mRNA codon recognition, and the 3' end, to which the tRNAs corresponding amino acid is attached (by aminoacyl-tRNA synthetases). tRNAs cope with the degeneracy of the genetic code in two manners: having more than one tRNA (with a specific anti-codon) for a particular amino acid; and 'wobble' base-pairing, i.e. permitting non-standard base-pairing at the 3rd anti-codon position. Lineage: Eukaryota; Metazoa; Arthropoda; Insecta; Diptera; Keroplatidae. The record is from RNAcentral.